Cheilinus undulatus (humphead wrasse) is the source of this 2520-nucleotide RNA transcript. It is a transcript of the gene named DEAH (Asp-Glu-Ala-His) box polypeptide 40, with no coding region annotated. Lineage: Eukaryota; Metazoa; Chordata; Actinopteri; Labriformes; Labridae. The record is from RefSeq and is a predicted model, not a curated record. The transcript has 18 exons.
CGGAAGUCACUGGAUAAGGAUGUUUCGUUGUUAAUACAUUUUAAACAGUAUGCAACCCAGGUGAAGUAAAAAGCCAAGAGACAACAGAGAAGUAUUUCUUUUAGGACCAAACACAGUCUAUGGGCAUGAGACAUUGUGUCUCAUGAUUAUCAUAAGAGUACAUGUGGUCUGUUUAAACUGAAAUCUUCUGAUAAGACUAGUCCCAGUUAGCAGACAUGUCUGAAAAACAGCUGCCAAUAUACCGGCAUAAAGCUAAACUUAUCCAGGCUGUAAAAGACAACAAUUUUCUGGUUGUCACCGGCGAGACUGGCAGCGGAAAAACAACACAACUUCCACAGUAUCUACACCGGGCUGGUAUUUGUAAAGAUGGCAGAAUUGGCAUUACCCAGCCCCGGCGUGUGGCUGCCAUCACAGUGGCACAGAGGGUCGCCCAGGAGAUGAAGUGCAGUCUGGGUAAAGAGGUUGGCUACCAAGUACGCUUUGAUGACUGCACAUCCCAGGACACUGAGGUGAAGUACAUGACAGAUGGCUGUUUGCUCAGAGAGAUCCUGGCAGAUCCUUCACUUUCCCAGUACAGCGUUGUUAUUUUGGAUGAAGUCCAUGAGCGCAGCCUCAACACGGAUAUUCUCCUAGGUCUAAUGAAAAAGGUCUUCUCUGAUCCAGCUAAGGCCACCAGGGGCCGAUCUUCUCCUCUGAAGGUGGUGGUGAUGUCUGCCACCUUGGAAACUGAUAAACUUUCAGCCUUUCUUGGGAACUGUCCCGUCUUUGUUAUUCCUGGGAGGACUUUCCCUGUCACCUGCACAUUUGGUUCGGCUAUAGGACCAAAAGACGUGGAGAGCACUGCUUACAUUAAAGAGGUUGUCAAAGUAGCCUUUGAUGUUCACACUAGUGAAAUGGCGGGAGAUAUUCUUGUGUUUUUGACAGGUCAGUCAGAGAUUGAACAGGCUUGUGACCUGUUGUAUGAAAAGGCAGAGUCAAUAGACUACCGCUAUGAUGUACAGGACCAAACAGUGGAUGGACUCCUGAUUUUGCCUCUUUAUGGAUCCAUGCCCACAGAUCAACAGCGGCAGAUCUUCCAGCCUCCUCCUCCUCGGAUAAGGAAGUGUGUGGUGGCCACUAACAUUGCAGCAACAUCUCUCACUAUUAAUGGGAUAAAGUACAUCGUGGACAGUGGCUUUGUGAAGCAGCUCAACCACAAUUCAAGAGUGGGCAUGGACAUCUUGGAGGUGGUGCCGAUAUCAAAGAGCGAGGCUCAGCAGAGGGCAGGUCGAGCUGGAAGAACGUCAGCUGGGAAAUGCUUUCGCAUCUAUACCAAGGAAUUCUGGGAGAAGAGCAUGCCUGAGUACACCAUUCCAGAGAUCCAGAGGACAAGUUUGACAGCGGUGGUGCUUACGCUCAAAUGUCUGGGUGUUCAUGAUGUCAUUAGGUUCCCUUAUCUCGACCAUCCAGAGGAAAGGUUCAUUCUUGAGGCGUUAAAACAGCUCUACCAGUUUGAUGCUAUCGACAGGAGAGGUAGAGUGACCCGGCUUGGAGAGCUGAUGGUGGAGUUCCCCCUUCAGCCAGGCCUUACCAGGGUCCUGCUCAAAGCUGCCUCACUUGGCUGUCAGGACUUACUUCUCCCUGUGGCUGCCAUGCUGUCUGUGGAGAACAUUUUCAUCAGGCCAGGCCAUCCUGACAAGCAGAAGGAAGCGGAUAAAAAGCACAGAGCACUGGCGACCAAGAGUGGCAGCAUGAAUGACUUUGCCACUCUCCUCAGUGUGUUUCAGGCAUGUAAAUCCAGUGACAGACCAUCAGGCUGGUGUAAAGACAACUGGAUCCACUGGAGGGCGCUGAAGUCAGCAUUCAGUGUGGAGACUCAACUAAGAGACAUUCUCUGCCGCCUCCAACAGAAGAGAGAUUUCCCUGUGGAAACAUUUGAUGGUAACAAGUCUGAACUCUUGAGACGAUGUCUGUGCACGGGAUACUUCACCAAUGUUGCAAGAAGAUCUGUUGGCAAGGUUUUUUGCACAAUGGAUGGUCAUGGAUCCAUGGUCCACAUUCAUCCUUCAUCAGCACUGUUUGACCAGGAGGCUGAGCUUAACUGGGUUCUCUUUCAUGAUGUGCUGGUGACGUCACGCGUUUAUGUCAGGACGGUUUGUCCUGUUCGCUAUGAGUGGGUGAAGGACUUGCUACCUAAACUCCACGAGGUGGACGUCUAUGAACUGAGCAGUGUGGCGAGAGAAGAAGUGACUGAAGAGGAGAUGAAAAAAUGGGAGAGCAAGGAAGCGGCCAAAAGACAAUCAGCACACUUUGGUAUCUCUGCAGCCACAGUGAUGCAAAAUAAGUCCGCCACUUCUCCUCAUUGUCUGUUUUCAAUUUGAAAACUCACAUAGCUCAGUGGACAAGUCAAAAGUAAAGUUCCUGUUUUGCAGAAGCUUCUACUGAGGAUGUCAUGAAGAAGUUGGAGAAAAGAAACAACGAAACGACUGUCAGUGAUGCUCGUGCUCGCUACCUGCAAAGAAAGCAACAGAGACAACAAAC